Molecule: long non-coding RNA, 1156 nt
Filed under: Marmota monax (woodchuck)
Lineage: Eukaryota; Metazoa; Chordata; Mammalia; Rodentia; Sciuridae
Source: RNAcentral
UUUAACCACUGAGCUACAUCCUUAGUCCUUUUUAAUUUUUAUUUUGACACAGUCUCACUAAGUUGCUUAGAGUCUCACUAAGAUGCUGAGGCUGGCUUUAAACUUACAAACCUCCUUCCUCAGGUGCCUGAGUUGCUGGGAUUACAGGCAUGCACCACCAAGCCUGGUGAAUUGUAACUGCAUUUAAAAAGUUAUACUAUGGUUGUGUUUGAAUAUCUUAUGGAUCUUAGUGUGAGCUAAACACACAAUAUGGUUUAGUGAAAUGAAAUCAUGUUACAGUUUUUGAGUUUUUUACUUUUUGAGUAGAUAUCUUUAUUAGGUAAUCUUUACGUUUCUUAAGGUUUUUAUUAUUUUUUCCUUGGUUUCUCUUUUUUUGGUGUAGUUAUACUCCUUAGAUGUUUUUAUAAUGUUGUGUCUCUCAGGUGAGAUAACUAGCUUCAUUGCAUGAAAUACAGAUUUUAAUAAACCAAGAGGCAACAAGAAGGAAAAAAACAUUAUUUCUCCUGAGUCUUCUGAAUAUGAAUUAAGAGUCAAUAAGAUGUACAUAGUGGUCUUAUGAAAACAAUGCUGCAAUAAUGACAGAUAAAAAACACCCAGUUGUUUACAACUUAUUUGAUAUAAUAACACUUAAUGGCAGUAUUCUGGUCAUUACCUAUAGAAAAGGAACUACUUAGAAACUUCCAUUGACUCUUGAUAUCCUACUCCUUUCUCUGCUCUGUGUUAAAAAAAUGGUUAAGAAGAAUCAGUGGGUGAGAAAAUGCACUAGACAUUGAGGAAAUAAUAUGAGAAACAGUUAAUUUUAAUUUUGCCUUAGAAUCAUCCAGAAUGACCUGUGCAGGAAUUUUGCAAAUUUCAUUAGGAUUUGUGCAAACGUAAAUGCAAAUAUUGAAUUCUUUUGAUAGUUUGCUCUCUCAAGCACUAUACACAGCAGUAUACUGAUGGCAGCUGCUGCAACAGAAGUACCAUUAGAGCUAUAGUACUGUACUAAAAUGUAUAGCACUGGAAAAUAAUAGCAGGGAAAGCAGUCAAAAAGGUAGCAGUCAGUGUUUGUUUAGAGGAAGUCACUUGAAAAAACUAACCAAAACAGUGGAGAAGGUGCUCAAGAGGCACUUGCUUAGCAUGCAUGGGGCCCUAGGUUUGAUCCCUAAACCACCUG